RNAcentral lists this ribosomal RNA (483 nucleotides) under uncultured bacterium. RNAcentral describes it as "partial 16S ribosomal RNA". It matches the Rfam family "Bacterial small subunit ribosomal RNA", at positions 30 to 506 of the family's 1533-position model. The record is from RNAcentral.
AUUGAACGCUGGCGGCAGGCCUAACACAUGCAAGUCGAGCGGAUGAAGGGAGCUUGCUCCUGGAUUCAGCGGCGGACGGGUGAGUAAUGCCUAGGAAUCUGCCUGGUAGUGGGGGAUAACGUCCGGAAACGGGCGCUAAUACCGCAUACGUCCUGAGGGAGAAAGUGGGGGAUCUUCGGACCUCACGCUAUCAGAUGAGCCUAGGUCGGAUUAGCUAGUUGGUGGGGUAAGGGCCUACCAAGGCGACGAUCCGUAACUGGUCUGAGAGGAUGAUCAGUCACACUGGAACGGAGACACGGUCCAGACUCCUACGGGAGGCAGCAGUGGGGAAUAUUGGACAAUGGGCGAAAGCCUGAUCCAGCCAUGCCGCGGGUGUGAAGAAGGUCUUCGGAUUGUAAAGCACUUUAAGUUGGGAGGAAGGGCAGUAAGUUAAUACCUUGCUGUUUUGACGUUACCAACAGAAUAAGCACCGGCUAACUUCGU